This 461-nucleotide ribosomal RNA is filed under the name uncultured bacterium. Its description in RNAcentral is "partial 16S ribosomal RNA". It matches the Rfam family "Bacterial small subunit ribosomal RNA", at positions 29 to 523 of the family's 1533-position model. The record is from RNAcentral.
AUGAACGCUGGCGGUGCGCUUCAUACAUGCAAGUCGAGCGCCCCUUCGGGGGAGCGGCGGACGGGUGAGUAACGCGUAGGUAACGUGCCCUGUACUGGGGGAUAACACCGGGAAACUGGUGCUAAUACCGCAUAAGAUGCAGCUUGAAAUAGCUGUAUUUAAAACUCCGGUGGUACAGGAUCGGCCUGCGUCUGAUUAGUUAGUUGGUGGGGUAAAGGCCUACCAAGACGAUGAUCAGUAGUUGGUCUGAGAGGAUGAUCAGCCACAGUGGGACUGAGACACGGCCCACACUCCUACGGGAGGCAGCAGCAGGGAAUUUUACGCAAUGGGCGAAAGCCUGACGCAGCGACACCGCGUGGAGGACGACGGUCUUCGGAUUGUAAACUCCUUUCGGCAGGGAAGAAUAAUGACGGUACCUGCAAAAGAAGCACCGGCUAACUACGUGCCAGCCGCCGCUGUAA